UUUGUUUAGGGUUUGGUUUUAUGCUGUCUGGUGUUAAGACAUGUCCCAGAAAUGUGGUUUCCUGCUUUAGAAACUCACACUUGUCAAGCUGUAGCUUAAGAGGUGCUGACGCGAGAAGUGGAGUAGGUCAGAAAUGACAACACAACGUUUGACGGACAGCCUUGUCAAAAGGCACACGGAUGUGUGAAGGGGAGGGAAUGUGGCCGAAACAUUACCCGAUCAUAGUAAACGCUAACAGCUAAGCCUGUGGAGCAGUGAGGACUGCUGACUGACGAACGAGAGGUGAGAGGCUUACCAAGAUCCCACGAUCAAAAUACGACGAGCUUACGCUAGCAACCUAGCCCUUAUCCAGGACACGGGCAUUUACACGCCGACGCUUUAGCGGAAGUGGCUGCCAAAAACCAACUCGUAGAAGUUUAUCUGUAUCAGCCAAUUCAGGGACUGAGCAACCAGUUGACAGCAACACAUGUCGCGCCCACCUUAGCCGUGGCCCCCGAAAUUAGAGCCUACGAUCCCAAAGACAUAACUAAUAAUCCUCAAUGUAGCGCGACUUUAGACGCCGUUAAAUAUCUGGCUGAAUUUACAGAGUCACAGGACUCAUACGUUUCUUGGCGGCAUGCGGCAAUAGCUGCGUAUCAGCUCCUAGCACCAACACAUAAUACACUAAAACACUUGUAUUUACCCCAAUGCCACAGACUAUUAGUUAAAAAGAAAACUACUUAAAAAACAAUGCCAUUCAUUAAAAACAAACAAACAUUUUAUCAAUAUACCAAGAACAGUUUGGACACGCAUCACGCCUUUUACUGAUAAAAAUAAGGAGGAAUAAAAAUAAAAAAUUACGUAUCUUUAACUAUCUGAUACCAAAGACACUAGAAUAAUAA
Long non-coding RNA from Drosophila erecta, 881 nucleotides. RefSeq lists it as uncharacterized. The transcript is spliced from 3 exons. Lineage: Eukaryota; Metazoa; Arthropoda; Insecta; Diptera; Drosophilidae. The record is from RefSeq and is a predicted model, not a curated record.